Molecule: transfer RNA, 72 nt
Filed under: Heterocephalus glaber (naked mole-rat)
Lineage: Eukaryota; Metazoa; Chordata; Mammalia; Rodentia; Bathyergidae
Rfam family: tRNA
About the family: Transfer RNA (tRNA) molecules are approximately 80 nucleotides in length. Their secondary structure includes four short double-helical elements and three loops (D, anti-codon, and T loops).
Source: Rfam by way of RNAcentral
GGGGCUAUAGAUCAGUGGUAGAGCACUUGCCUUGCAUGCAUGAGGUCCUGGGUUCAAUGCCCUCCAGCGCCA